AUGCUGGUGUUUAUAGAAAAUGGCUCAGAAUGAACGCAGCAUCAUUCCAGUUUCUUCCAACCUAGGUAUUUUCAUAAAAUUGUGGUAGAUACUAAUAUGAGAAUAGCUUUAACUUGAGAGGAAAAACUAUCUGUGACCCUGGAGAUACCUGGAACCUGGUAAAAUACAAUGCUCCCUAACUUUUCAGUUUCGAAUUGACUGAAACACUAGAUCAGGCAUUAUUAAAUGGGUGAAUGCACUUGACUUGUAAGAGUACUAAUCCACACUUAUGUGCAAGUACCAAUAACCAAGAUGAAUGAAGCUGGAACGUUCAAUUCUAUACUAUGUGGCAAUUUCUUCAGUGCAUUGGUGCUCUGGAUGGAAAACAUAUAACAAUUUCUCUCUCCCUCCCCAAACUCUAGCUCACUCUUCUACAAUUAUAAAGGGGACUUUAGUAUUAUAU
Argiope bruennichi is the source of this 442-nucleotide long non-coding RNA. RefSeq lists it as uncharacterized. NCBI's taxonomy places the organism in Eukaryota, Metazoa, Arthropoda, Arachnida, Araneae, Araneidae. The transcript is spliced from 3 exons. The record is from RefSeq and is a predicted model, not a curated record.